GCUGCUAACUGCACACCUAUGCUUACAUCCAAACGGACUAAACCAAGUGGAAACGCUUUGGACGAUGGCCCGUGCAAAGUCAUGCCACCAGUCUGAGGACAUUAAUGGGAAUGGCACAUGGGACACGUGGCUUUCAACUCCAGCGAGCACACGGCACAGGUGGGCUUCACCGCGGGCAAUCGUGGCAAAGACCCAAGUCGACUGGACCACAGCGGAAAAUGAUCGUUCCAGAGAAGAAGUAGUUAUUUACUUCUACAACGAAUGGAAGAGUGACAACUUCCAGAUGACAGCUCUCCACUCAUCCUUCUGGGCAACUUGAACAUCCGACAGAACUCGUGUGACCUACUGCGUUUAUUUUCUCCUUUAGCUCUCAUUUAAGUAUUAAAAUUCGCUGUAUUUUUGCAAGAGGGGCACCAAUCCUAUUUGAGUGACGUUUCGAAUUGUACUUGUAUUAGAGCAGACAGGUCAUCUGCAGAGCGUUGGCCCCUGUUGCAGUAGAUGAGGGGUUGAUUCUUGGCAUGUUAAUACUUCUUUUUUUUUUACCUCUUAUUAAGGUGUUGUACUUUGUACAUCGCCCGCACUUAUUUAAGAAGACUCCUCAUGUGACUUUAAAUGUGUUAAAUGAAUCCAGAAUGUAAUAUUUGUUCAGUAUGCAGGGGCAGUGAUUUAUUUAGUCAUAUUUUGUUGUUUUUUUACAUGACAAUAUGGUUUGGUACAUGCUGAGUUAAUGAAUAUACAUUCUAAAGUGCGUGAAUAAGAGUUGUAUACGUUUAUCAUAGUCAACAUGGUGUGGAAAUAUCCCUUAUGUAGUUGGUCAAUUGGAACUGUAUUAGGCAGUAAUAACAGCUAAGGUAAUUACAGGUGGAUAUUUCUGUGAAUUAACCUUGAUUGAGACUGCGUCUAUAAGAUAUACAGGACAAGAAACAUGCACUGGAUGUAAACUGUACGUGUGUUGAAU
This is a long non-coding RNA of Pungitius pungitius (ninespine stickleback), 958 nucleotides long. RefSeq lists it as uncharacterized. The record is from RefSeq and is a predicted model, not a curated record. The transcript has 3 exons. Lineage: Eukaryota; Metazoa; Chordata; Actinopteri; Perciformes; Gasterosteidae.